UGGACGCUCACGCGAUCAGCAGUCUACAGCUGUUUAUUUAAGUUUUAAGAAUGGACAGAGAUAGAUUCUACUUCUUCUUCUACUUAUAAACAGAUAAAUUGAAUUGAGUGGCUUGUCGAUCAACUAGAGGAAACCGGGGAACGAAACAUGGAAAUGAAAGUCUAGAGAAAGUCAAGGCAACAAACUGACAAAAGUUCGAAAUGUCGAAAGUGUUUUGUUUUCAUGGAUUACGUACAUUUAUGUACCUUAAAAGGGCAACGAAUGGUAAAUAUAAUUAAUGCACCUUUUUUUUUAAUUAUAAUUGGACAAAGACAGGAAGAUGUGUGUGUGCAAAUUUUUCACAAAAAAACUAUUUGACUGUUGAUUGUAAACCCGAGAACGAGAAUCCGGGUCCGUCCGCCCUGAUUUCGGUUCGCCCUAGUUACUGUUCGCCCUAGUUCCGUUUCGCCCUGAGACCGUUCGCCCUGAUUUUUAUUUUUUAUUAUAGUGUUGUGUUGUGUGUAUUUAAUUGAAUAUGUUGAAGUCAGUCUACAAUUUCGCCGAAUAUUUACGAUUUUUAUUUUUUAGUAUAGUGUUGUGUUGUUAUGGUUGUGUGUAUUUAAUUAAAUAUGUUGAAUUCGGUCUACAAUUUCGCCGAAUAUUUACGAUGUAUUAUGUUGUCUACAGCUAGCUGCUUCUAGGUUAUAAGUUCAUGCCUAACAAUUUGUACAUCAGUGUUUUUACCCAUCCAAGCUGACUAUUUUGAGAAAAAUGUUAUUUUCAUUAUUAAUCCAUCAAAUUGAUUGAAGCUUAAAUUAUUAUGAGUGCAUGAAACUGAAAGGUCUACUUACAUGAAUUAACAUGUACUUAAAUGUACAUGAAAAUAUAAAAAAAACCAAGAUGUGUUUGUCAUGGUUGUCAACAAUUAUAUUUGAUUUUUGGUGUAUAAAUGCCACUUUUAAACAACGCAUUUAGGCUAUUUUAAGGCGGACAGUUUUUAUUGGUGGAGGAAGCUGGAGAAAAACCACCAACUUUCAAGAGGAAAACUGACAAUCCUAGUCAAUUAAGAUUGGAGUCAAGUGCACCCUUACUAGCAGGGUUCAAACUUACAACCUCAGUGUUGACUGGCUAGUGAUUUAAUACAGUAAUAACUACAUAGACCACUCAGCCACCGAGGCCUGCCAACAAUUAUAAGUUAAAAUACAAGUACAAAUGUAGUCCAAAUAAUUAUGAAGUCUUGAAAGCUAUUAUAAAUGUACUUAAUUUUAUUUACAUCUAUGUCACAGAAUGGCCGCUUCAAUGCAAAAAUUAAAAAUAGCCUUUCUAGACGUCAUAAUAGUUUGGACUACAUGUUCAUUUGUAUCUUACAAGUUGACUUCAACAAUGAGCCAAGUGCAUAAUGCAAAGUCAGCUUUAACAUGUUUAAAAGACGCAAAAUGUAAUGAUGUAAACAAUUCAAAUGAAGGAACUUACAGACUAAUGAUUUUUAAACAAAACAAGGAACAAAUAAACAAAUAUGAUAUAUUAGUAUAGCAACAAACUACAACAUGAACUGCUAAAUAACAGGCUUCUGACUUGGGACAGAAACAUACAGCACGUACAGGAUGUGAUGGAGUCAAACCAGUUUGUUGGUGCCAAAUUAAACCCCCUCCUAACCUUGGAUAGUGGUGUCUAGAAUUCAAAACUUGAUCUGUGUUACAAAGUGUAAAUUUUAUGUGGUUUAAUAUAAGCAUUGUGUGUAAUUUUCGUUGCAUUUGGUCAAAACAAACGGAAACUAAGAUAAGAAAAUGGAAACUAAAAUAAGAAAACGGAAACAAAAAAAAUCAGUCAUUUUUCAAUUUGUAAAAGUGAUGCCACCAAAUUAUAUGAACUCGAUCUGAAUUUAUAAAUGUGGAAAUAAGUGGUGUGUAUAAGUUUCAUAACAUUUAAUUUGGUUGAGGCAAACUAAAAUUAGAGAAAAGAACAAUAAAAAUUCAGCAAUGCAUAACUGAAGAAAGGUAAAAGAAAGUAACACCAGUGACCACCCAAUUUUUUGGGACAAACAACAAAAUGUAUGUACUGACGGAUGGACAAGGUUAAAAUUUACCCCCCCCCCAAUACGACAGGGGCAUGCAUGUAACAAAAUGCAUGUAAUAUAUUGUUUAUACUGAAGAUUGUUAUUACAGCAUCUCUAAAUAACUUCAAAGCUUUUGCUCAGACAUAUAUAUAUAUCAGUAUAUCAUGCUUUUAAAAUCACAAUGUAUUUUAAGUUAUUGUAUACAGUAGGACAUAAUGAUCAUGAUGAUCAGAGCAUGCUUUCCAGUAAUUACCAAAACUGUCUCAUAUAAAACAUGUAAUACAUUAAUACAUGUCUGUAAUAACCAUGAUAACUACAUGUAGGCCUUACAUGUUAUACAUGUACAAAUGUAACAGCUAAGUUUAAUCCCUUGAAAUCCUUUGUCUCAUUGACUAAAGAAGUUACCAUGGUUGAUUAAAAAUGUAUUCAUUUAAUUUGAAAAUUAGUUAUAAAGGCUGUGUAUUUAUUUAGUUACUGCACAUAUAAAGUUUCAAAAAUUCCCUAGUGCACACCAAAAACAACAAAUAUAUGUUACUACCGAGAAAAAUUUUAGAAACGAAGAGUAGACAACUCAUGAAAUUAUCUGGCAUAACAACAUGCAUGUUAUAUUCACUAAUAACUUAUUUAAUAUAAAAAAGAAGAUGUGGUAUGAUUGCCAAUGAGACAACUGUCCAUAUGAUAAGAGACCAAAAUGACACAGAAAUUAACAACUAUAGGGCAUCGUACGACCUUCAACAAUGAGAAAAGCCCAUACUGCAUAGUCAGCUAUAAAAGGUCCCUAAAUGACAAUAUAAAACAAUUCAAACAAGAAAACUUUUUUUUUGUACAAAAAAUGAACACAAAACAAAUAUGUAACACAUAAACAAACGACAACCACUGAGUUACAGGCUCCUGAAUAGUUAUGCCCUUGAACAUGUACAUUUGUACUGUAACUGAUGAAAAAGAUGCAAUACAUUUGCAAAUCAUAACAAACUUAUUAGGGCCCCGCCUUUAGCGGGUCGCCCUAUAUGAAGUCUUCCGUGUAACACUUUAACUUGUGUCCGUUCCAUAUAGAGAAAUUAUGAUUUCAUACUUUAUACUUUACAUGUUUAAACCAUCACCAGAGGGCGUGCAUAUGUAUGACAACUUCCUAGGUCAAAGGUCAGGUAAAAAACUUUGGUUUCAUGACAACCCUGUGUCCUGUGGUGAGAUCGUGUCGCUCUAUAUCUGAGAACCGUUAUGAUUCUAGAUAACCGUUAUGAUUUUAUACUUAAUACUUAACAUGUUUAUUAACCAAACCAGAGGGUGUGUCAUGAUGUAUUUACAACUUCCUAGGUCAAAGUUCAAGGUCAAAAACUUUGGUUUCAGUUGACAAUCCCGUGUCCUGUGGUGAAGAUCGUGUGCUCCAUACUAGAUAACCGUUAUGAUUUUAACUUAAUACUUAAACAUGUUUAUUAACCAACACCAGAGGGUGUGUCAUGAUUAUGUCUCUAGGUCAAGGUCAAGGUCAAACACUUUGGUUUCAGUUGACAACCUUGUGUCCUGUGGUGAAGAAUGGUCCGCUCCAUAUCUAGAUAACCGUUAUGAUUUCAAAGUUUAUACUUGACAUCCAUUUUAACCACCACCAGAGGGGGUGUCAUGAUGUAUGUACAACUUCCUAGGUCAAAGGUCAAGGUAAAAGAUUGGCAUUAUACAUUUGUAAAUCAUAACAAGAACUUAUUUAGUCAGAGAUCAAAUUUAACCACUUUGAUACACCAUUGAAUUCAUACAACAGGCAUAUGGAUUUAAUAAGAUGGAUUAGAACAUUUAAAUAAUUUAAUACUUUUAUAUUAUACAUGUAUAAAUGUAUAUAUUUUUUUUCAGGGCAAGUCUAGAUCUGUUGGUCUUGUUUUAAAAGAUCAAAAUAAGCCAAUUUUGCCAUAUAACAUGUAUAAAAAUAUUUAAGGCAAUUUGUUCGAUAUUUUAACUCUAUUUCAUUUUACAUUAUUUCUUUUAGCAUUUUCUAUGGAAGUACAUGUACUUCAAGAAGAAGAAGAAGCUAAGCAACAGAAUGGAAUUGUCUGAGGCAUUGCUUUCUAGAUUAUAUGAUGGAUUCAUAGAUUUUCAUAUUGAUUUAUGUGCAUAUAAAGAGCAGCCGGCAAUUAUUUUAUGACGAGAGGUAUGUACAUGUAAUAAAAAGGAUAACUUUGUUUGAAUAUUUUGUUGUUGUCAGACUAUCUACAUGUUACACAUUUUGAUUUCGUGUAAGCAUUGAAAAAAUAUUUUUUUUCUACUGGACCAUUUUAUUGAAAAUAGCAUUGGAAGCUCUAUAUACACUCCAUUGCUUGUUCUUUUUAUACGACCACAAACAAUUUUUGGGGAUUGUAUAAUGGUAAGGUGUUGUCGUUAUCUGCAGCGUCCGAAGACACAUUGGUUACCGAACAAUAACUUAGGUUUAAGUGCAUAAAUCUUUAUGAAUUUUGUUGUGAAGGCAAUACAAAAAAAGGUUGGGAUGAUUUUGGGGAUGAUGGUCGGAAGUCUCAACCGUUUAGGAAUUAGGGGCCCAAAAUGGGCCAAAAACAAGCAUUUUUCUAGUUUCAGGAUAAUAAGUUGUUUAUAAGUAUUUCAAUUGCUCUGAAAUUGUACCACAAUGUUUAAAACCACAAGUAACAGGUUUGUAUUCAGUUUAGGGGUUCUGGGGCCAAAGUUUAGGAAUAAGGGGCCAAAAACAAGCAUUUUUCUAGUUUCCAGACAAUAACUUGUGUGUAAUUGUAUAGAUCUCUCUGAAAUUGUACCACAAUGUUCCAUAUAACAAAGGGAAGGCUGGGAUAGAGUUUUGGGUUAGUUGCCCAAAAUAUGUCGGAAUUAGGGGCCAAAAAGAAGCAUGUUUCUAGUUUCCAGACAAUAACUUGUGUUUAAGUGACUCAUAGGCGGAUUAAGAGGGGAGGCCCAGGCGACCCUGCCCCCCCCCUCUUUUCUGGGAAAAUUUUGGUUGAUUAUAUAGGGAAACACUGAAGCAUGUCCGGAUCAGUCCCCCUCUUAGGCAGUCACUGGGCCCCCACAUAUGAAAAUUUCUGGAUCCGCCAUCGAGUGUAUGGAUCUCUCUGAAAUUGUACUACAAGGUUCCAUACUACAAAAGAAAGGAUGGGAUUGAGUUUUAGGGUUAUUGCUCCAAGGGGGAUUUCAAUAAGUUGAGGGGGGGAUAGUUUGUUUACAACUUUUUUAAGGGAUUCCUUUUUUUUUUCAAAAAUUUUUCAAAUUUUUGAUUUUUGAAAAGUUUCAUGCAAUAAUGUUCAGCAAAGUAAGAUCUACAAUGGUCAACAUAACCAAAAUUUUCAAUGGACCCCUUAAGCAGUUGUUGCCCUUUAUAGUCAAUUUUUAACAACUUUCUCGUAAAUUUUGCAAUCUUUUCCUCUUUUGUGUUUUGAGCAAGAACUAAAGAAGAUAAAGAGAAACUUAACAGGCUAUUAAUAAAAUAUGUUUACAGGAGUUUUGCCUCUUGGAAAUAGAUAUUGAAUUUGUAAGGAAAAUUGCAUCCCACACAUGUCUACUUUUCUUGUAGAUUAUUUUUAUAAUUUAUGAAAAAUGUUAAAAAAAGAACAUACUUAUUUGUUGUGGUUAUUGCUUUUUGACAGCAAAUUUUAUAUAUCCAUCAAUUGGUGAGGUACAUUGAAACACUGUUCUUUUAUUAAAUGCAUGAAGUAUACAGAUGGUAACACAAAUGACAACAUGUUAUGUUCAUGAGUUUAAUAUUUAUAUAUAAAUGUUGUAUUUCAACAAUUUUGCCUAUGAAACAGCAAAUCAAGAUUUAAUAAACCGGAGUUAAUGCCUAAAUGGAUUUUUUUAAACUUAGGCAGAAGAAUAGUUUAUUAUAUAUAUACAUGAUGAUAUAUGAGAAAGUUCAUGCUAUACAUAUAUUUGUUGAUUGUUUAUAAAUUGUUUCCAUUAACUCAAAAGUAAAAGUAUUAAUUAGUGAGCAUCAGUUCAUACUACAUGUACAUUUAGUUUUUGUCUGGACUUUUGGAUUAACUUAAAAUUUAUAAUUUUAGCUUGUUACCAAAUGAAAGGAAAGUGCAGUAUUAGAAUUACUGAGGUACAUGUUACGGUGUACAUGUACAUGUAGGUGCAGAUGUCCUGUAAAAAAAAACUGGUAUCAAAGUAAGUUCAUAUGUAGAAUUGUAUUUGAUUUAAAUAAUUUAAUGUUAUCUAUUCAAAACUUUUUCAAGUGUAAUUGUACAUGUAUACAGUUGUUUAUUUUUCUGUCUUUUUGAUGUCAAGUAUGCAUCGAGGAAUCCUUACCAGUCUCAUCUGCUUCUGCUGCACACGCAUGAGAAAUGAGAAGCUCAAAUAAUUAUAGCAUUUGCAUCACAGACCGUAUAUUAUGAAUUGUAUAUUUAACAUGAUCAAAAGUUGUUCUUGUCUUUGAAUAUAUACAUUAAAUAUUUGCCACUGUACAUUAAAAUAAACAAGAAAAAUUAAUUUGAUAAUUUUCUUUUAACCGUAGAGCGUUUUUAAAGAACUAGAAUAUUGAUAUAAGGAGAUGGUGUAUGAUCCUCAAUGUGACAAAAAACUAAAGAACGAAGAUAAAACAUUUACUGGUCACUGUUCAGCAAUGAACAAUAAUCAAAAUCCAUACCAUAAAGUAACCUUCAACUUGUUUAAGGAUGCAAAAUGUGAACCAUUGAAAAAUUAAAACUACAUAUUGUAUGGCAGACAUUAAUUAAUAUGUUUAUAGAAUGAUUGUAAGGUGUUUAUAUUUGUCUUGCAGGUGCAAUUCUUGCCAGAUUUUUAUAAAACUUAUACUAUACUUUAAUAUCAGCAAUAUCUUGGUCAAGUUCACUACUUUUGACCGAUUGACUAUUUUCAAAAGAGUUAUGCCCCUUGAAAAUAUUAAAUAAAGGAAAAUGGCCUUGUAAGCGCUCUCAUCGGUUCAAUUUUUUAUAAAACACAUAGUAUACUGUAAGUAAUGCCCUUGAAGGUCUGUUUGAAAUAUUUCGUAUACAAGAAAAAGAACUUUUUUUCCAAGCACACUUUUUUAUUUAUAAUUUUAUUCAAGUGCCUUUUUUUAAUUAUUGCCCCUUGCUAGAUAAAAUAUGUGCAACUCAGUGGACAUUGAAACUCUGUUCUGUUAUUUUUAUUUUCAGGAACUGAAAAGUAAAGAAACAGAACCAAAGAACAUUCAUUUUAAAUUAAUACAAUAUUGAACUCAAAAGUCAAUCUAGUUGUCUUUCUUAAUUAUAGAUAUAAGAAGAUGUGGUAUUAGUGCCAAUGAAACAACUCUCCAUCCAGGUCAUAAUUUGUAAAAGUAAACCAUUACAGGUCAAAAUACAGUUUUCAAAACAGAGCUCACACGAAACAGCAAGCCAUUAAGGGCCACAAAAGCGGCAGCAUACACUAGCACCUGUAAUAGCUAGCAGUGUAGACAAUUACAAUGUACAUAUCAAUGUGUAUGGUGAUAUAGCAAUAGAAAUAUCACAUCCAUCAGAGGGAAAUAGAAUAUAGACAAUAGAAAUAUCACAUACAUCAGAGGGAAAUAGAAUAUAUAGACAAUAGAAAUAUCACAUACAUCAGAGGGAAAUAGAAUAUAGACAAUAGAAAUAUCACAUACAUCAGAUUAGAAUAGAUUAUCAACAAUAGAAAUGGUGUAUGUCACAGAGACAAACAUAUGAAAAUAGAAUAUAGACAAUAAAAAUUUGAUAUGUCAUAGAGAUGAAAAUAGAAAUAUAGACAAUAGAAUUAGGGUAUGUCAAAGAGGCAAACAUAGAAUGGGAUAUGUCAAAGAGACAAAACCAUGAAAAUAGAAUAUAGACAAUAGAAAUGGGAUAUGUCAAAGAGACAAACAUAUGAAAAUAGAACAUAGAGAAUAGAAAUG
RNAcentral lists this long non-coding RNA (7865 nucleotides) under Mytilus galloprovincialis (Mediterranean mussel). Lineage: Eukaryota; Metazoa; Mollusca; Bivalvia; Mytilida; Mytilidae. The record is from RNAcentral.